GAUUGACCUCGGAUCAGGUAGGGAUACCCGCUGAACUUAAGCAUAUCAAUAAGCGGAGGAAAAGAAACCAACAGGGAUUGCCUCAGUAACGGCGAGUGAAGCGGCAACAGCUCAAAUUUGAAAUCUGGCUCCUUCGGGGCCCGAGUUGUAAUUUGUAGAGGACGUUUCGGGCGCGGCCCGGUCUAAGUCCCUUGGAACAGGGCGUCAUAGAGGGUGAGAAUCCCGUAUGUGACCGGUGACCAACCCCAUGUGAAACCCCUUCGACGAGUCGAGUUGUUUGGGAAUGCAGCUCAAAAUGGGUGGUAAAUUCCAUCUAAAGCUAAAUACUGGCCAGAGACCGAUAGCGCACAAGUAGAGUGAUCGAAAGAUGAAAAGCACUUUGGAAAGAGAGUCAAACAGUACGUGAAAUUGUUGAAAGGGAAGCGCUGGCAACCAGACCUGCCCCGGGCGAUCAGCGGGUGUUCUCACCCGUGCACUCGCCCGCGAUCAGGCCAGCAUCGGUUUCGGCGGUCGGAUACAGACCCGGGGAACGUGGCUCUCUUCGGGGAGUGUUAUAGCCCCGGGUGCAAUGCGGCCAGCCGGGACCGAGGACCGCGCUUCGGCUAGGAUGCUGGCGUAAUG
This 621-nucleotide ribosomal RNA is filed under the name Sphaerophorus globosus. RNAcentral's name for it is "LSU rRNA". It matches the Rfam family "Eukaryotic large subunit ribosomal RNA", at positions 1 to 636 of the family's 3401-position model. Lineage: Eukaryota; Fungi; Ascomycota; Lecanoromycetes; Lecanorales; Sphaerophoraceae. The record is from RNAcentral.